RNAcentral lists this ribosomal RNA (857 nucleotides) under Klebsiella sp. ICBR 003. RNAcentral describes it as "bacterial SSU rRNA". It matches the Rfam family "Bacterial small subunit ribosomal RNA", at positions 210 to 1051 of the family's 1533-position model. Lineage: Bacteria; Pseudomonadati; Pseudomonadota; Gammaproteobacteria; Enterobacterales; Enterobacteriaceae. The record is from RNAcentral.
GCCUCAUGCCAUCAGAUGUGCCCAGAUGGGAUUAGCUGGUAGGUGGGGUAACGGCUCACCUAGGCGACGAUCCCUAGCUGGUCUGAGAGGAUGACCAGCCACACUGGAACUGAGACACGGUCCAGACUCCUACGGGAGGCAGCAGUGGGGAAUAUUGCACAAUGGGCGCAAGCCUGAUGCAGCCAUGCCGCGUGUGUGAAGAAGGCCUUCGGGUUGUAAAGCACUUUCAGCGGGGAGGAAGGCGAUAAGGUUAAUAACCUUGUCGAUUGACGUUACCCGCAGAAGAAGCACCGGCUAACUCCGUGCCAGCAGCCGCGGUAAUACGGAGGGUGCAAGCGUUAAUCGGAAUUACUGGGCGUAAAGCGCACGCAGGCGGUCUGUCAAGUCGGAUGUGAAAUCCCCGGGCUCAACCUGGGAACUAGCAUUCGAAACUGGCAGGCUAGAGUCUUGUAGAGGGRGGUAGAAUUCCAGGUGUAGCGGUCGAAAUGCGUAGAGAUCUAGGAGGAAUACCGGUGGCGAAGGCGGCCYCCUGGACGAAGACUGACGCUCAGGUAGCGAAAGCGUAGGGGAGCAAACAGGAUUAGAUACCCUGGUAGUCCACGCCGUAAACGAUGCCGAUUUGGAGGUUGUGCCCUUGAGGCGUGGCUUCCGGAGCUAACGCGUUAAAUCGACCGCCUGGGGAGUACGGCCGCAAGGUUAAAACUCAAAUGAAUUGACGGGGGCCCGCACAAGCGGUGGAGCAUGUCGGUUUAAUUUCGAUGCAACGCGAAGAACCUUACCUGGUCUUGACAUCCACAGAACCUGGCAGAGAUGCCCGGGGUGCCUUCGGGAACUGUGAGACAGGUGCUGCNUNGGCU